AUGUUGCAGAGCUGGAACGGGAGGAUUCCGGGUUUGUCAAAUAUUUUUUUUUUAUACCACGCUGCCGUGCCAAGAGGAACGUGUGGGUUUGGCGGAGGGAAUAAUGAGUUAAUUGUGAUGAAAUGGAAUUCCAUCUCUCGGAGGAUCUCCUGGCUGGGAGGAGGUCGGGAUGAUGGAAUUUCGGGGCAGGUGUACGAGGAGAGCGCGGCAGCGAUGAGCGGUUUUUGUUUCUGCUCUGCCUGCAUCCAUCACCUCCUGGGCUCUCAGGAUUAUCCACAUGGCAAAAAAAAAAAACAAAACCCAAAAAAAGUCAUUUCCCUCCCAAAGGAGAGUUUUGCACGUGGAUCUGCGCUAGAGCUGCCCCGGCGAUUUUCCAAAUCUGAGCUCCGGGUGAGUUUUCUGUGCAUUAACAAGCCUGGAAGUGGGAAGAAUUCCACUUUUCCUCGUGUCCAAAAGCAGAGGUGGCUGUUCCAAAGCCCAGCUGCUGCAAAAAGGGCGAGGCUGCCAUCAACCCACAAACCCAAACCUGGCAGAGAGGCGAUGGAUCCUCUCCACCUCUCCCUGCCUCCUGUGGGAACCCGGCGAUUCCUGCCCGCCGUGCCAACAAAAACCUUGGAAAAAAAAAAAAUAAAUAAUAAAAACCCCGACGGAUCCACAUUGAAACCAACACCCAACAGAGCCAAGAUUAUCCCGGGAACAACCGGCCCAGGAAUUCCCCCAGCCACGGAUUGCUCGGCCAAGCCAUUUUUCUUUUUCCCGACGCGAUUGAACUGGGCCGGGCGCAGCACUGGGAGCCAAAACCUUCCCAUGAAUCACAUUUUAAUCCGCGUCCCCCGGCCCUCGGAUGUCGCAGGGCUUCAAAGGGGUUCCCAGUUUCCACCUCGCCCUCUUUCUGUGGGGUGUUGCCCAACGCCGGCGCUCUUGGAGGGUUUUCAGAGAAUAUUUGCAGCGAACGCAAAGGAAUGUGAGAAUAUUUGCCAGCUGUGCUCAGUGGUUUCGUGUAGCAGCUCCCAGAGGUUUCUGUGA
Molecule: long non-coding RNA, 1026 nt
Filed under: Lonchura striata (white-rumped munia)
Lineage: Eukaryota; Metazoa; Chordata; Aves; Passeriformes; Estrildidae
Description: domestica (Bengalese finch) lncRNA (ENSLSDG00000003806.1)
Source: RNAcentral